Molecule: ribosomal RNA, 467 nt
Filed under: uncultured bacterium
Lineage: Bacteria
Description: partial 16S ribosomal RNA
Rfam family: Bacterial small subunit ribosomal RNA
Source: RNAcentral
ACGAACGCUGGCGGCGUGCUUCACACCUGCAAGUCGAACGGAAAGGCCCUGCUUUUGUGGGGUGCUCGAGUGGCGAACGGGUGAGUAACACGUGAGUAACCUGCCCUUGACUUUGGGAUAACUUCAGGAAACUGGGGCUAAUACCGGAUAGGAGCUCCUGCUGCAUGGUGGGGGUUGGAAAGUUUCGGCGGUUGGGGAUGGACUCGCGGCUUAUCAGCUUGUUGGUGGGGUAGUGGCUUACCAAGGCUUUGACGGGUAGCCGGCCUGAGAGGGUGACCGGCCACAUUGGGACUGAGAUACGGCCCAGACUCCUACGGGAGGCAGCAGUGGGGAAUAUUGCACAAUGGGCGGAAGCCUGAUGCAGCAACGCCGCGUGCGGGAUGACGGCCUUCGGGUUGUAAACCGCUUUCGCCUGUGAUGAAGCGUGAGUGACGGUAAUGGGUAAAGAAGCACCGGCUAACUACGUG